This 300-nucleotide long non-coding RNA is filed under the name Ananas comosus (pineapple). RNAcentral describes it as "long non-coding RNA (ACOM_LNC037226)". Lineage: Eukaryota; Viridiplantae; Streptophyta; Magnoliopsida; Poales; Bromeliaceae. The record is from RNAcentral.
CCACCAACCUCUCUAAACCCUUUAGAAAAUGUAGAAUAAUUCCACUUAUCAUUCCCAUUCAUCAGACUUCAUAAUCAGUCAAAUUCAGAAUAUCACAUUUGAACUUCGCACUUUUCCACGUCAAAAGAGCAAUGCACUUUCGACCUUCCGGCUGUUUGUUUACUCUUAUAACCAAUCAAGGACCUCACACUCUUAAAAAGAUGUGGGUUAGCUCCAGAUCCCAAUCCCACAUUCGAAUUUCGCAAUUGACCAAGUUCAACGUAUUAGAGUUGAUAAUGCAUUUGGAAUGCACUUUUCCAC